CCCUUCUUAGCUCAGUCGGGAGAGCGCGUCGCUAGGAUUAGAUUGGGAAACCUGGCCACUGCAUAUUCUAACGCGAGGUCAGUCGUUCAAGUCGAGUAGAAGGAC
Rhodocollybia butyracea is the source of this 105-nucleotide non-coding RNA. NCBI's taxonomy places the organism in Eukaryota, Fungi, Basidiomycota, Agaricomycetes, Agaricales, Omphalotaceae. The record is from the annotation of a GenBank genome assembly.